This 967-nucleotide long non-coding RNA is filed under the name Homo sapiens (human). RNAcentral's name for it is "long intergenic non-protein coding RNA 2235". The record is from RNAcentral. Lineage: Eukaryota; Metazoa; Chordata; Mammalia; Primates; Hominidae.
GGUGGCCUGAAGGUGGCUGGGCUUCCUGCGGCGCCUCUCCACUCUCCCGCGGAGCCCCUUGCCGCCCGCCAGACAUCAAGGUUGCAGGUGUCACCCGUACGAGAACCCGGGACAGCGACCGCCUGUCCUGAGCUGGGAUCCUUGAUGGACAGUGCCUAAGCAUGGAGGCAACUGCAGGUUUCUGGCCAGGGCCACUCUCUGGUGAAACUAAAAGGUCCAUGUGGAAGCACCUGACUGCCACCACCUGGUUCAGAAAUUACAAUUUGGGGACAGGAGGAGAGAUACAGGUGGGAAGUCACAGGAACUAAAGUCAAACUAAAGGAAAAUCUGUGGCGAGAAGGUCCAUGAAGUUCUACUGCUAAGGUCCCUGAAGUUGAUCUGGUUCCUCCCGCUUCUGGACUUUUCCUUGGACUCCAUGAGAUAAUCUAAUGUUCUUUCAAUAGUUUCACUCUUGUUGCCCAGGCUGGAGUGCAAUGGUGUGAUUUCAGCUUACUGAAACCUCCACCUCCUAGGUUCAAGAGAUUCUCCUGCCUCAGCUUCCCGAGUAGCUGGAAUUACAGCUUCAGAUCCAAAUGGUAUGCUAGCAUUCUCUUCCUAGCAGUCCACUGUCAAGACUUCACUGUUAGAAGAAGAAUCACACCAGAAUUAAGGUCAAAUGGAUUAUCUUAUUCUUAAUUGCUGAAAAUCACACCUCAUUGAAAUUUGCUUCAUAACUGAACCAUGAAUUUUUCAUCAAACAUACUUUUGUGUUUCUCCUCCUGGCAUUCUUUAUGAGGAACUUCUUUUUGGAGCUCACUGACUUCCUGUUCUAAUUUGGUCCAGUUAUUUUCUAGAAUUGCUACAUGACUGUCAUCCUGGGACAUCCUUCUGUUGGAAUCUGGGAGAGCUUACAACUUUUCAUAUCCUCUCUUCUUCUUUGUGUUUUUCACCCUGAAGUGUACAAAGUCAAAUGAAUUUCCUAGAAAAA